Molecule: long non-coding RNA, 307 nt
Organism: Xenopus tropicalis (tropical clawed frog)
Lineage: Eukaryota; Metazoa; Chordata; Amphibia; Anura; Pipidae
Exons: 2
Source: RefSeq, a predicted model, not a curated record
UUGGAUAUCUUGAUGUAACGUGUCUGGGUUUUCAUUUAGCUCCAAGCGGGAUUUCUCUAUUGUCUCUGGACUAAGUCCAGCAUGCAGGCCACAGAGUCUACCAGAAGCACAAGCAGGAAGAAUAUCUCACUCCGUGAACUUUAUCUCGAUUUGAAAAAUUCACAUGUAUUGGACAAGUGCAUCCUUGUUAAAAGGGUUUCUGCAGGAUCUACAACUGAAACCUAGAGGGGAACUUUACAGACUGAUUCAUGUUUUAUUUAUUGAAAACAUCAGAGGCGUUCACACUAAUAAACAGAGUUGGUAGAAA